UCAGAUUGAACGCUGGCGGCAGGCUUAACACAUGCAAGUCGAGCGGGGWRAKGUAGCUUGCUACAUUACCUAGCGGCGGACGGGUGAGUAAUGCUUAGGAAUCUGCCUAUUAGUGGGGGACAACAUUCCGAAAGGAAUGCUAAUACCGCAUACGCCCUACGGGGGAAAGCAGGGGAUCUUCGGACCUUGCGCUAAUAGAUGAGCCUAAGUCAGAUUAGCUAGUUGGUGGGGUAAAGGCCUACCAAGGCGACGAUCUGUAGCGGGUCUGAGAGGAUGAUCCGCCACACUGGGACUGAGACACGGCCCAGACUCCUACGGGAGGCAGCAGUGGGGAAUAUUGGACAAUGGGCGMAAGCCUGAUCCAGCCAUGCCGCGUGUGUGAAGAAGGCCUUUUGGUUGUAAAGCACUUUAAGCGAGGAGGAGGCUACUUGGAUUAAUACUCUAGGAUAGUGGACGUUACUCGCAGAAUAAGCACCGGCUAACUCUGUGCCAGCAGCCGCGGUAAUACAGAGGGUGCGAGCGUUAAUCGGAUUUACUGGGCGUAAAGCGUGCGUAGGCGGCUUCUUAAGUCGGAUGUGAAAUCCCUGAGCUUAACUUAGGAAUUGCAUUCGAUACUGGGAAGCUAGAGUAUGGGAGAGGAUGGUAGAAUUCCAGGUGUAGCGGUGAAAUGCGUAGAGAUCUGGAGGAAUACCGAUGGCGAAGGCAGCCAUCUGGCCUA
This 718-nucleotide ribosomal RNA is filed under the name Acinetobacter johnsonii. RNAcentral describes it as "bacterial SSU rRNA". It matches the Rfam family "Bacterial small subunit ribosomal RNA", at positions 24 to 736 of the family's 1533-position model. Lineage: Bacteria; Pseudomonadati; Pseudomonadota; Gammaproteobacteria; Moraxellales; Moraxellaceae. The record is from RNAcentral.